Molecule: long non-coding RNA, 106 nt
Organism: Gavialis gangeticus (Gharial)
Lineage: Eukaryota; Metazoa; Chordata; Crocodylia; Gavialidae
Exons: 3
Source: RefSeq, a predicted model, not a curated record
ACUUGCUUCAUCCUCUCCUUAGAAGUCGUGUCCCGCAGCCCCCUCACCAUUUUCACUGUCCUCCAUUGGACUUUCUCCAAUUUGUUCAUGUCCUUUCUGUAGUGGG